GUACAUCCAGAGAACUUGGCAGAGAUGCCUUGGUGCCUUCGGACCGUCUGAGACAGGUGCUGCAUGGCUGUCGUCAGCUCGUGUUGUGAAAUGUUGGGUUAAGUCCCGNAACGAGCGCAACCCCUAUCCUUUGUUGCCAGCGAUUCGGUCGGGAACUCAAAGGAGACUGCCGGUGAUAAACCGGAGGAAGGUGGGGAUGACGUCAAGUCAUCAUGGCCCUUACGAGUAGGGCUACACACGUGCUACAAUGGCGCAUACAAAGAGAAGCGACCUCGCGAGAGCAAGCGGACCUCAUAAAGUGCGUCGUAGUCCGGAUCGGAGUCUGCAACUCGACUCCGUGAAGUCGGAAUCGCUAGUAAUCGUAGAUCAGAAUGCUACGGUGAAUACGUUCCCGGGCCUUGUACACACCGCCCGUCACACCAUGGGAGUGGGUUGCAAAAGAAGUAGAUAGCUUAACCUUCGGGAGGGCGUUUACCACUUUGUGAUUCAUGACUGGGGUGAAGUCGUAACAAGGUAGGCGUAGCGAG
This 527-nucleotide ribosomal RNA is filed under the name uncultured bacterium. RNAcentral describes it as "bacterial SSU rRNA". It matches the Rfam family "Bacterial small subunit ribosomal RNA", at positions 982 to 1509 of the family's 1533-position model. The record is from RNAcentral.